This 497-nucleotide ribosomal RNA is filed under the name uncultured bacterium. Its description in RNAcentral is "partial 16S ribosomal RNA". It matches the Rfam family "Bacterial small subunit ribosomal RNA", at positions 28 to 507 of the family's 1533-position model. The record is from RNAcentral.
GAUGAACGCUGGCGGCGUGCCUAAUACAUGCAAGUCGAGCGAACAGAUGAGGAGCUUGCUCCUCUGAUGUUAGCGGCGGACGGGUGAGUAACACGUGGAUAACCUACCUAUAAGACUGGGAUAACUUCGGGAAACCGGAGCUAAUACCGGAUAAUAUUUUGAACCGCACGGUUCAAUAGUGAAAGACGGUCUUGCUGUCACUUAUAGAUGGAUCCGCGCCGCAUUAGCUAGUUGGUAAGGUAACGGCUUACCAAGGCAACGAUGCAUAGCCGACCUGAGAGGGUGAUCGGCCACACUGGAACUGAGACACGGUCCAGACUCCUACGGGAGGCAGCAGUAGGGAAUCUUCCGCAAUGGGCGAAAGCCUGACGGAGCAACGCCGCGUGAGUGAUGAAGGUCUUCGGAUCGUAAAACUCUGUUAUUAGGGAAGAACAAAUGUGUAAGUAACUAUGCACAUCUUGACGGUACCUAAUCAGAAAGCCACGGCUAACUACGUG